UACAGAGGGGGCAAGCGUUGUUCGGAAUUACUGGGCGUAAAGGGCGCGUAGGCGGCCUUCUAAGUCGAACGUGAAAUCCCCGGGCUCAACCCGGGAACUGCGUCCGAUACUGGAAGGCUUGAAUCCGGGAGAGGGAUGUGGAAUUCCCGGUGUAGUGGUGAAAUGCGUAGAUAUCGGGAGGAACACCAGUGGCGAAGGCGACUACCUGGCCUGUUUCUUGACGCUGAGGCGCGAAAGCUAGGGGAGCAAACGGG
RNAcentral lists this ribosomal RNA (254 nucleotides) under uncultured bacterium. RNAcentral describes it as "partial 16S ribosomal RNA". It matches the Rfam family "Bacterial small subunit ribosomal RNA", at positions 524 to 776 of the family's 1533-position model. The record is from RNAcentral.